AGAACAACCUCUCUCUCUCCAGCAGAGAGUGUCACCUCCUGCUUUAGGACCAUCAAGCUCUGCUAACUGAAUCUCAUCCUAAUUGCAGGAUCACAUUGCAAAGCUUUCACUCUUUCCCACCUUGCUUGUGGGUAAAUCUCUUCUGCGGAAUCUCAGAAAGUAAAGUUCCAUCCUAAGAAUAUUUCACAAAGAAUUUCCUUAAGAGCUGGACUGGGUGCUUGGUCUAAACUUUUGGAUGGUAAAGCCUUAUCUGCCUUUUCGAUUGGGACAUGGGUCCUACGAUGAUACACCAACCACUUGUGCUACCACCUGUCAAAACUUUGGAUGGCCCUACUUUCAGGUCUUGACCCCUGAAUUUAAGAAAUUCUUAAAGACAAUGUCAAAUAUGAUCCAAGAGAAAAUGUGAUUUGAGUCUGGAGACAAUUGUGCAUAUCGUCUAAUAAUAAAAACCCAUACUAGCCGAUAGAAAACAAUAUUCGAAAGAUUGCUACCACUAAAAAGAAAACUACUACAACUUGACAAGACUGCUGCAAACUUCAAUUUGUCAACCACAACUUGACAAGGUUGCUAUAAAACAAGAUUGCUAC
This 587-nucleotide small RNA is filed under the name Pan troglodytes (chimpanzee). Its description in RNAcentral is "processed transcript". The record is from RNAcentral. Lineage: Eukaryota; Metazoa; Chordata; Mammalia; Primates; Hominidae.